RNAcentral lists this ribosomal RNA (486 nucleotides) under uncultured bacterium. RNAcentral's name for it is "partial 16S ribosomal RNA". It matches the Rfam family "Bacterial small subunit ribosomal RNA", at positions 30 to 507 of the family's 1533-position model. The record is from RNAcentral.
AUUGAACGCUGGCGGCAGGCUUAACACAUGCAAGUCGAGCGGAAACGAUGUAGCUUGCUACAGGCGUCGAGCGGCGGACGGGUGAGUAACGCGUAGGAAUCUGCCUAGUAGUGGGGGACAACAUGUGGAAACGCAUGCUAAUACCGCAUACGCCCUACGGGGGAAAGGAGGGGAUCUUCGGACCUUUCGCUAUUAGAUGAGCCUGCGUAAGAUUAGCUAGUUGGUAGGGUAAAGGCCUACCAAGGCGACGAUCUUUAACUGGUCUGAGAGGAUGGCCAGUCACACGGGGACUGAGACACGGCCCAGACUCCUACGGGAGGCAGCAGUGGGGAAUAUUGGACAAUGGGCGCAAGCCUGAUCCAGCCAUGCCGCGUGUGUGAAGAAGGCCUUAGGGUUGUAAAGCACUUUCAGGGGUGAGGAAGGGUGUUUGGUUAAUAUCCAAACAUUUUGACGUUAGCCCCAGAAGAAGCACCGGCUAACUCUGUG